UUACGUUCCGAUUUAGAUUUUUAAACUGGAAUCUAUUAGUUUAAUUUCAAUUACUCCACUCAAGUCGUCCAAUAUCCGCCUCUAAAUUUGAUAGAUAUUCCACCGGCCCCACCCACUCCACUUCCGCCAAUGGAAUCACCGCCGCCUCAAGCUCCCAUCCCUCGCCGGCGGAGACGAGCAUGACGACCGCAGAUGGUUCCCGCUGGGAAAGUACUAACUGGACAAGAAAGUCGCCGGUGCCGUCGUCAUCGCAGCCCCGCUAGUCCUCCCUCCUCUGUUUAUCCUGUCCGCGGUAGCCGUCGCACUCUCGCUUUUCCCUCCGCCCUCUACCUCGCCAGCUUCGCUCGCGCCGAGAAGGUCAUGAGCUCCCUCCUUGGCCUCCUUCAGGAAGGCAGCGGCAACUGCGGCGGCGUGGAGAUUCCGGUGGACGAACGCCGUAGAAGAAGAGCGUCGUCCUCCUCCCCAGGAAGUGAGCCUGGAAAGCAGAGAUAUCCAAGUCGAAGAGACGACGAAAGAGAGAGAUGAGACGAACAAGAAAGAAUCCCGCGCAAGGAGAGAAACGAGAGCAAGCACAAGAAACAUAGGAGUAAAUAGUACUUUUGCCCCUAAAACUAAGUCGCAGAACUGCAUCUUAGAGGAUAACUUCGAGGGCCUCACUCAGAAGAGUUACUCACGGAUGAUUCGCAGUUAGACCUUGAAUCUCUUCCAGCGGCUGGGAACUGUGUAAAAUUUCACAUGAAAAACAAGUACUAAUUACACAUACACAUCCAACACCAGUAGUUCAUCCUUGCGAAUUAUUGACGGUCGUAACCAGCUUAAACCACUGGCUAUCCACGCCCAGCUUUAGCCCCUGGUUGCACGAAUUGGCGACGAGGGUGCCAUCGGCGUCCGCGUCCAAGCACACCUUCCUGCCGUCCGCCAGCUCCGUCGUCAGAUGCGUCGUCGUCCCCCCCUCCGACUCCGACUCCGACGCGAACGCCCACCGCGACUCGCAGAUGAUUGCGAGCCUGACCGGGUCGCCGAGCCCCACGGGCUCGAGGCAGAAGUAGGUGCCGGUGAUCAUCAAGAACUGCUGCGGCGUGUACUGCCACGAGUCGGACUUGGAGCAGGGGCCGAGGUUGAGCGGGUCCGCUAUCGUACUGCGCAUCACGCACAGGCCGGUCGAAGGGUGGAAGAUCUUGCUGCGGCGGUGGCGCAUCACGGGAACGUGGCGGUUGUCUUCUCCUGCAGUUUAUUAAAUUUCAGGUGGAUAAUUAAGGAAGAGGAUUGGCUGAUUGGCUGAUUGCGAACCUGCGAAGUUGAGGUGGAAGGAAGGGGAUGCAGAGGUGGGCUGUUGCAGAGGAUUGGAGCAGAUCAGCAGCAGAGGGAGCAGGUAAUGGAGCGGGGAGGAAGCCAUGUUUGCUGGUGAUGUAGAGAAGUCGAUCGAUGAUAAUUUUGAUCUAUUAAAGUGAUUUUUGGAA
Zingiber officinale is the source of this 1460-nucleotide long non-coding RNA. RefSeq lists it as uncharacterized. The transcript has 2 exons. The record is from RefSeq and is a predicted model, not a curated record. NCBI's taxonomy places the organism in Eukaryota, Viridiplantae, Streptophyta, Magnoliopsida, Zingiberales, Zingiberaceae.